Molecule: long non-coding RNA, 325 nt
Organism: Xiphophorus maculatus (southern platyfish)
Lineage: Eukaryota; Metazoa; Chordata; Actinopteri; Cyprinodontiformes; Poeciliidae
Exons: 3
Source: RefSeq, a predicted model, not a curated record
GUUCAAACUUCCCACAUGUAACCCAGGUGUCCGCCAUGACCCAAUCACCUUCCCUUUAAGUUGAUUGUCAUGGGUGCUUCCGGGUUUUGUUUUUUCCUCCCCACCUUGCUGCUACUCACUGUUGGUUGUUUGUAAAACAACCUGGAGUUUCUGAAUCGACUCAUCACUCAUUUAAUCUCUAAAACUUGAAGAUUGCGGUUGUGAUCCAUUGACAGCUGGUGAACCUUCCUGAUCUGAGCAAGUUAUCAUUGCAUCCACCUCAUCAGAUAAUCCGUUACUCGACGGUCAGGUUUUUCCCCCUUGCAUUGACUCACUUGAUGACGGA